Molecule: long non-coding RNA, 302 nt
Filed under: Cricetulus griseus (Chinese hamster)
Lineage: Eukaryota; Metazoa; Chordata; Mammalia; Rodentia; Cricetidae
Description: lncRNA (ENSCGRG00000025423.1)
Source: RNAcentral
CUUCACUUAAUGAGAACCUAUCAUGUCAAAUGUUUGUUGGACAGAAUAUAGCCACAGAGGCAGACAGUCCCUGCUCCUGGGAAAGUCAAGCCCUUGGGAAGAAGACACACAACACACUAAAACUUGCAUGGCUGAGCAUCCAUCGCAAUUACGAUGUGUUCUACAAAAAGAGGAAAGCUGGCUGAAUGCAAGAGGGCCCAGAUGUUUGCUCUUAAAGGAUGGUAAGAUACACGAAGUCUGUAACCAUUCACCCCAGGAGAAAACAACAAUAUUGCACAUAUUUCUGUCGCCAUAAAGUUUAC